Molecule: ribosomal RNA, 253 nt
Filed under: uncultured bacterium
Lineage: Bacteria
Description: partial 16S ribosomal RNA
Rfam family: Bacterial small subunit ribosomal RNA
Source: RNAcentral
UACGGAGGGUGCAAGUGUUAUUCGGAAUCACUGGGCGUAAAGAGCACGUAGGCGGAUGGGUAAGUCAGAUGUGAAAUCCCGAAGCUUAACUUCGGAACUGCAUUUGAUACUGCUCGUCUUGAGUAUGGUAGAGGGGGAUGGAAUUCCCGGUGUAGAGGUGAAAUUCGUAGAUAUCGGGAGGAACACCAGAGGCGAAGGCGAUCCCCUGGGCCAUUACUGACGCUGAGGUGCGAAAGCGUGGGGAGCAAACAGG